Molecule: long non-coding RNA, 1455 nt
Filed under: Ficedula albicollis (Collared flycatcher)
Lineage: Eukaryota; Metazoa; Chordata; Aves; Passeriformes; Muscicapidae
Description: lncRNA (ENSFALG00000023622.1)
Source: RNAcentral
AUGCUCCAAAAUAUCUGUGCAAACUCCCGAGGUGGCAAAAACACAGGAAAAAAAAAAAAAAAAAAAAAAGGCCCCCCCCCCCCCCCCCCCCCCCCCCCCCCCCCCCCCCCCCCCCCCCCCCCCCCCCCCCCCCCCCCCCCCCCCCCCCCCCCCCCCAGGAAAAAAAAAAAAAAAAAAAAAAAGGGAGUGCUGGCUCAAGUGCCAUUUGUUUAUUUGCAGCGAGUCAAGCCCUGGACCAGGAUAUCCAGGAGGGAUCUGGUGGCUCCAUCCUGGGAGAUCACCAAAGCCUGCCUGGACACCUGGGCUGAGCCUGCAGAUGGCAAUUCCCAUUUUGGGAGGGUGGGCUAUGAGUCCCUGUGCCCGGCAUGGCUCCUCCCUGAGGAGCCUGGGAUGUCCUGCUGGAACCUUGGAGCUUGCUCCUGGUCACCACUCCAGCUCCUCUGCUCCCUCUCCCUCGUGGAAUGGUCGGGGGGCAGCAUUCCCUGGGAGGCUGCGUGGGAGUUCUGGCCUCUCCUGUGGGAUCUGCCCUGGCUUUGGCUCCUCGAGUGCUCUUGCCCCUGGUGUCUCUCGCUCCUCCUCGAGGGGGUGUCAUGCUGGGGCCGUGGAGAGUGUCUGUCAUCAGCAUUCCAGCGCCUCUGGUUUGUGGAACGGUCGUGGGGCACCGUUCCCUGGGAGUUCUGGCGUCUCCUGUGGGAUCUGCCCCGGCUUCGCCUCCUCCUUGUGCGCCAGUGUCUGGAGGAACCGGCGUCUUCCCACGGGCGUGUCUCGCUCCUCUCUGAGGGGACAUGGUGCUGGGGCCUUGGAGCGUGUCUGUCAUCAGCAUUCCAGCUCCUCCAGUGCCUCUGCUCCUGGGAGCCCGUCUGUGUGUCCUGCUCUCUCCUGGAGGACCUGCUCUGCCGCCUGUCCCAGCUCUGGGAUUGCUCCCUGCUCCUGCUCCUGCUCCUGCUCCUGCUCCUGCUCCUGCUCCUGCUCCUGCUCCUGCUCCUGCUCCUGCUCCUGCUCCUGCUCCUGCUCCUGCUCCUGCUCCUGCUCCUGCUCCUGCUCCUGCUCCUGCUCCUGCUCCUGCUCCUGCUCCUGCUCCUGCUCCUGCUCCUGCUCCUGCUCGGCUCCGUGACCGCUCCCGCCGGCUCCACGACCUGCGGGACCUGCGCCGGGACCCGCGCCGGGCCCGGCUUCCCUGUGAGGAGGCCGGCAUGGCCCAUUCCAGCCUUGGAGUCCGUCCCUCUUCUGGUGCAUCCUCCCAGGCGCUCCUCUGCUGCUCCCACCACCUCCACCUCGGGGAGUCGCCGCCUCGGCCGUGCCGCGACUGCCAGCGGCCAUCGCGGGGCCACCUCAUGGAUCUCCUCCUCCUCCUCCUGCUGUCCCAGGGCCCGCUGGUCGGCCAGGCCGCCCCCCCCCCCCCCCCCCCCCCCCCCCCCCCCCCCCCCCCCCCCCCCCCCCCCCCCCCCCCCCCCC